RNAcentral lists this transfer RNA (71 nucleotides) under Polyrhachis dives. RNAcentral's name for it is "tRNA-Asp". The record is from RNAcentral. Lineage: Eukaryota; Metazoa; Arthropoda; Insecta; Hymenoptera; Formicidae.
AAAGAAUUAGUUUUAAUUUAAAACAUUAAAUUGUCAAUUUAAUAAUAUUUUAAUAUAAUAAAUAUUCUUUU